RNAcentral lists this transfer RNA (85 nucleotides) under Felis catus (domestic cat). It matches the Rfam family "tRNA". From Rfam's summary of the family: Transfer RNA (tRNA) molecules are approximately 80 nucleotides in length. Their secondary structure includes four short double-helical elements and three loops (D, anti-codon, and T loops). The record is from Rfam by way of RNAcentral. RNAcentral also lists the same sequence under 1 other name. Lineage: Eukaryota; Metazoa; Chordata; Mammalia; Carnivora; Felidae.
GCCUGGGUGGCUCAGUCAGUUAAGCAUCCGACUUCAACUCAGGUUACAAUCUCACUGUUUGUGGGUUCGAGCCCCACAUCGGGUU